RNAcentral lists this ribosomal RNA (837 nucleotides) under Lactiplantibacillus plantarum. RNAcentral describes it as "bacterial SSU rRNA". It matches the Rfam family "Bacterial small subunit ribosomal RNA", at positions 63 to 868 of the family's 1533-position model. Lineage: Bacteria; Bacillati; Bacillota; Bacilli; Lactobacillales; Lactobacillaceae. The record is from RNAcentral.
CGAACUCUGGUAUUGAUUGGUGCUUGCAUCAUGAUUUACAUUUGAGUGAGUGGCGAACUGGUGAGUAACACGUGGGAAACCUGCCCAGAAGCGGGGGAUAACACCUGGAAACAGAUGCUAAUACCGCAUAACAACUUGGACCGCAUGGUCCGAGCUUGAAAGAUGGCUUCGGCUAUCACUUUUGGAUGGUCCCGCGGCGUAUUAGCUAGAUGGUGGGGUAACGGCUCACCAUGGCAAUGAUACGUAGCCGACCUGAGAGGGUAAUCGGCCACAUUGGGACUGAGACACGGCCCAAACUCCUACGGGAGGCAGCAGUAGGGAAUCUUCCACAAUGGACGAAAGUCUGAUGGAGCAACGCCGCGUGAGUGAAGAAGGGUUUCGGCUCGUAAAACUCUGUUGUUAAAGAAGAACAUAUCUGAGAGUAACUGUUCAGGUAUUGACGGUAUUUAACCAGAAAGCCACGGCUAACUACGUGCCAGCAGCCGCGGUAAUACGUAGGUGGCAAGCGUUGUCCGGAUUUAUUGGGCGUAAAGCGAGCGCAGGCGGUUUUUUAAGUCUGAUGUGAAAGCCUUCGGCUCAACCGAAGAAGUGCAUCGGAAACUGGGAAACUUGAGUGCAGAAGAGGACAGUGGAACUCCAUGUGUAGCGGUGAAAUGCGUAGAUAUAUGGAAGAACACCAGUGGCGAAGGCGGCUGUCUGGUCUGUAACUGACGCUGAGGCUCGAAAGUAUGGGUAGCAAACAGGAUUAGAUACCCUGGUAGUCCAUACCGUAAACGAUGAAUGCUAAGUGUUGGAGGGUUUCCGCCCUUCAGUGCUGCAGCUAACGCAUUAAGCAUU